Molecule: non-coding RNA, 446 nt
Organism: Manis javanica (Malayan pangolin)
Lineage: Eukaryota; Metazoa; Chordata; Mammalia; Pholidota; Manidae
Source: RefSeq, a predicted model, not a curated record
GCCAAGCGCGGGGGCUCUGCACACGUGAUCUUCCUGUCCCUAGAGCUGAGCAGCCGCUGGCCCCUCUCCUUGAUCCAGGCUCCCAGCCAGUGCAGGGCACAGUCGCAACGCCACGGGUUCUCUGUGGACAGAGCAGUGGUGGAUGCUGUCACUUGGAAAUGACCCCCGUACCCAACUUCCGACCCUGACCUGGUCUCAUCUUUCCAGUGUUUGCCGACCUGCCGUCUGAUGGGUCCAAAAUAUUCAAGCCCCUCACCUGUCUGUUCUGUUCAGGAACUUCUACCUUUUCUGUGUUUCUCAGACAGGGUCCCUGAGAUAUGCCCCUACCAGCCUGACCCCUAACAGCCUUCCACCAUGGCUGCCGGUGGUGGCAUGGCCCUCCAGACCACUGCCGGAUCGACUUGCAACUCAGAGUCACUGUCAUUAAAGCCCCCUCUAUGCCUGGG